AUCACUCUGCAGCCUUUUGGCUAAGAUCAAGUGUAGUAUUUGUACUUAUCAGUUUAAUAAAAGCUACUGUCUCGUAUAAGUUAUUUUAAAUAUAAGAAAUGCUAUUCAGACACUUC
This 116-nucleotide small nuclear RNA is filed under the name Pteropus alecto (black flying fox). Its description in RNAcentral is "U2 spliceosomal RNA". It matches the Rfam family "U2 spliceosomal RNA". Rfam says of the family: U2 is a small nuclear RNA (snRNA) component of the spliceosome (involved in pre-mRNA splicing). Complementary binding between U2 snRNA (in an area lying towards the 5' end but 3' to hairpin I) and the branchpoint sequence (BPS) of the intron results the bulging out of an unpaired adenosine, on the BPS, which initiates a nucleophilic attack at the intronic 5' splice site, thus starting the first of two transesterification reactions that mediate splicing. Lineage: Eukaryota; Metazoa; Chordata; Mammalia; Chiroptera; Pteropodidae. The record is from Rfam by way of RNAcentral.